Molecule: long non-coding RNA, 2825 nt
Organism: Mytilus californianus (California mussel)
Lineage: Eukaryota; Metazoa; Mollusca; Bivalvia; Mytilida; Mytilidae
Exons: 2
Source: RefSeq, a predicted model, not a curated record
GUUUAUUUUUAUACGACCGCAAAAAAAUUUUGUGGUCGUAUAUUGGUAUGACGUUGGCGUCGUCGUCGUCGUCGUCCGGCGUCGUCGUCCGAAUACAUAUUGGUUUUCGCACUCUAACUUUAGUUUAAGUGAAUGGAUCUUUUUGAAAUUUGACCAUAAGGUUAAAUACCACAAAAGGAAGGUUGGGAUUGAUUUUGGGGGUCAUGGUACCAACAGUUAAGGAAUUAGGGGCCAAAAAGGGGCCAAAAAUGAGCAUUUUCUAGUUUCCAGACAAUAACUGUGGAACGGUGUAUGGAUCUCUCUGAAAUUAUACUACAAGUUUCCAUACCACAAAGGGAUGGUUAGGAUUUGCUUUGGGGGGUUAUGGCUCAAACCGUUUAGGAAUUAGGGGCAAAAAAGGGGGAAAAACAAGGUUGUCCUGGUUAAUGGACAAAUACUUUAGUACAAAACAUAAUUUAAAGCAGUGUAAGGGAGAUAAAUCAAAUACAUCAUUGAAAUUAUCUCCCUUACACUACUUUUAAAUUAUGUAUAAAGUAAUGGUUAAUGAACAAUAAAGAUAAUCUAAAACAGUGUAAGGGAGGUAAUCCAAAUACAACGUUUUGGUUACUUCCCUUACACUGCUUUUAAAUUAUGUUUAAAGAAAUGCAUAUUUAUAAAGGAAGACCAGUAAAAAUAUCUGCAAAUGUUUUCAUCUUUUUUUUUUACAAAAAAAUCCAUAUGAAAGAUUUGACACUAUAUUUUUAUUAAUUCUAUUAUAAAAUAGAUUAAGUUAGCACUAUGGUAAAUUUAAAUGGGUAAUUAUGGUUGCCAACUCUUUUGGAAAUUUGAAUUGAGAUUAUGACCAUAUCUUGAGGGAAAGAAUUUUUUUUGGGGAAAAAGGGGGGGGGGAUAAAAAGAAAUUGUGGGGGGCCAAUUUUUUCUCAUUUCAGAUUUCAGAAAUUAAAAAGAAUUAUUCUUCAAAUAUUAUUUUUUUUUCAAAUUUCAAAUAUUGAAAAAUUUCAAGAAGUAAUCUUUAAUUGCACAGUAUGGCGCAUUAGAUUUGUAAAAUCUUUGAUCACAUUUAUUUAUUUGUUAUGCCGAAUCUAACAGUGUAUUUUGAUUUUUAAUUUUGGGUCCAGUUUUCAAAUUGGUCUACAUUAAUGUCCAAAGGGUCCAAAAUUAAACUUUGUUUGAUUUUAACAAAAAUUGAAUAUAUGGGGUUCUUUGAUAUGCUGAAUCUAAACAUGUAUUUAGAUUUUUGAUUAUUGGCCCAGUUUUCAAGUUGGUCCAAAUUGGGGUCCAAAAUUAAACUUUGUUUGAUUUCAACAAAAAUUGAAUAUAUGGGGUUCUUUGAUAUGCUGAAUCUAACCAUGUAUUUAGAUUUUUUAUUUGUGGACCCCGUUAUCUAAUUGGUUCAUAUUGAGGUCAAAAGGGUCCAAAAUUAAACUUUGUUUGAUUUCAUCUAAAAUUGAAUUAUUGGGGUUCUUUGAUAUUCCAAAUCUAACCGUGUAUUUAGGUUUUUAAUUUUGGGUCCUGUUUUUUAAAUUGGUCUACAUUGAGGUCCAAAGGGUCCAAAAUUAAACUAAGUUUGAUUUUAACAAAAAUUGAAUUCUUGGGGUUCUUUGAUAUGCUGAAUCUAAACAUGUGUUUAGAUUUUUGAUUAUGGGCCCAGUUUUCAAGUUGGUCCAAGUUGGGGUCCAAAAUUAAACUUUUUUUGAUUUCAACAAAAAUUGAAUAUAUGGGGUUCUUUGAUAUGCUGAAUCUAACCAUGAAUUUAGAUUUUUUAUUUGUGGGCCCCGCUAUCAAAUUGGUUCAUAUUGAGGUCAAAAGGGUCCAAAAUUAAACUUUGUUUGAUUUCAUCAAAAAUUGAAUUAUUGGGGUUCUUUGAUAUUCCAAAUCUAACCGUGUAUUUAGAUUUUUAAUUUUAAGUCCCGUUUUUUAAAUUGGUCUACAUUAAGGUCCAAAGGGUCCAAAAUUAAACUUAGUUUGAUUUUAGCAAAAAUUGAAUUCUUGGGGUUCUUUGAUAUGCUGAAUCUAAUCAUGUGUUUAGAUUUUUGAUUAUGGGCCCAGUUUUCAAGUUUGUCCAAGUUGGGGUCCAAAAUUAUACUUUGUUUGAUUUUAACAAAAAUUGAAUAUAUGGGGUUCUUUGAUAUGCUGAAUCUAACCAUGUAUUUUGAUUUUGGACAUUGGACCAUAAUAGGUAAAUUAAAAAAAUUCAAGUUCUUAGACCACAUUCUUUCUGUGUCAGAAACCUAUGCUGUGUCAAAUAUUUAAUAACAAUCCAAAUUCAGAGCUGUAUCAAGCUUGAAUGUUGUGUCCAUACUUGCCCCAACUGUUCAGGGUUCGACCUCUGCGGUCGUAUCAAGCUGCGCCCCAGCGAAGCAUUUUAUUAAUUAAUAUACAGGCAAUAUUAUUGUAUAUCUGUAAAACUGAUAAUGAAGCAUAUAUUGUUAUAUCAAUAACAAAACAUAAAAUACAUGUAUUAAUGCAAGAAAUGCUAUAAAUUGUCAAUUGUUCAACAAUUUUUCUUUGAAAAGAGGAUAUGGCGCUAGCUUGUUUUUUCUGUAAUUUAUUGUUAAUAGUAAAUGAGAGUGUAGUCACUUUUCAUCACCCUUCUUCAUAGAAAAAUAUAAGGAUUAAUAUAAGAUUUAUUCAGUUUUUUUAAUAUUAGAAAGAACAGUCCAAUGUGUCUAUGUUUUAAAUCUACACUGGGAAAUCUUGGUCUUUCUCCUAAUUAUAUUAAUAUGUUUGUUUAAUAGAGAGUUAUGUGUAGAUAUGUGGUUUGUUAUAUGAGGGUGAUGAAAGAAAUAUUUUUGAUAGAAAUAAAUGAAAUGAUCUCAUGCUAA